This 263-nucleotide ribosomal RNA is filed under the name uncultured Staphylococcus sp. RNAcentral's name for it is "partial 16S ribosomal RNA". It matches the Rfam family "Bacterial small subunit ribosomal RNA", at positions 99 to 354 of the family's 1533-position model. Lineage: Bacteria; Bacillati; Bacillota; Bacilli; Caryophanales; Staphylococcaceae. The record is from RNAcentral.
CGGACGGGUGAGUAACACGUGGAUAACCUACCUAUAAGACUGGGAUAACUUCGGGAAACCGGAGCUAAUACCGGAUAAUAUAUUGAACCGCAUGGUUCAAUAGUGAAAGACGGUUUUGCUGUCGCUUAUAGAUGGAUCCGCGCCGCAUUAGCUAGUUGGUAAGGUAACGGCUUACCAAGGCAACGAUGCGUAGCCGACCUGAGAGGGUGAUCGGCCACACUGGAACUGAGACACGGUCCAGACUCCUACGGGAGGCAGCAGGC